UGUAAGCGUAUACCAAAGUUGUUGCAGUUAAAACGCUCGUAGUCGGAUUUUGGCAGUUCCGGAUGUGUGCACGUCGUGUGCGCACUUCGCGGGGAUUGCUUUUGUGGUCUUGCGUAGGAUGAGGCACUUUUAUUAGUGAACGUCCUCACGCAACCACUUUUUACUGUGAGAAAAUCAGAGUGCUCAAAGCAGGCAUUUGCCGUGAAUGUAUUAGCAUGGAAUAAUAGAAUAGGACUUGGUUCUAUUUUGUUGGUUUGUUGGGACUGAGUAAUGAUUAAGAGGGACAGUUGGGGGCAUUUGUAUUUCGGUGCUAGAGGUGAAAUUCUUAGAUUACCGAAAGACAAACUGCUGCGAAAGCGUCUGCCAAGGAUGUUUUCAUUGA
This 382-nucleotide ribosomal RNA is filed under the name uncultured eukaryote. Its description in RNAcentral is "partial 18S ribosomal RNA". It matches the Rfam family "Eukaryotic small subunit ribosomal RNA", at positions 592 to 976 of the family's 1831-position model. The record is from RNAcentral.